CCCCUCAGCAAUGGGCCAAGAGACACCUUGUGGUAGUUGGUGAUCUUGUAUCAGUCAGGGGUGGAGCAGAUGGCAGUCCUUGGUCCAUCCUAGCUUGAUGCCUGCCUUGGUGGCCAAAACUGUUCUAUGUCUAGGACUCAUAA
Small nucleolar RNA from Acomys russatus (golden spiny mouse), 143 nucleotides. RefSeq annotates it as small nucleolar RNA SNORA48. Lineage: Eukaryota; Metazoa; Chordata; Mammalia; Rodentia; Muridae. The record is from RefSeq and is a predicted model, not a curated record. The transcript has a single exon.